AUUGAACGCUGGCGGCAUGCCUUACACAUGCAAGUCGAACGGCAGCGGACCUUCGGGUGCCGGCGAGUGGCGAACGGGUGAGUAAUAUAUCGGAACGUACCUUUCAGUGGGGGAUAACGUAGCGAAAGUUACGCUAAUACCGCAUAUUCUGUGAGCAGGAAAGCAGGGGAUCGCAAGACCUUACGCUGAUUGAGCGGCCGAUAUCAGAUUAGCUAGUUGGUGAGGUAAAGGCUCACCAAGGCGACGAUCUGUAGCGGGUCUGAGAGGAUGAUCCGCCACACUGGAACUGAGACACGGGUCCAGACUCCUACGGGGAGGCAGCAGUGGGGAAUUUUGGACAAUGGGCGCAAGCCUGAUCCAGCCAUGCCGCGUGAGUGAAGAAGGCCUU
This 388-nucleotide ribosomal RNA is filed under the name uncultured bacterium. RNAcentral's name for it is "bacterial SSU rRNA". It matches the Rfam family "Bacterial small subunit ribosomal RNA", at positions 30 to 418 of the family's 1533-position model. The record is from RNAcentral.